This 98-nucleotide ribosomal RNA is filed under the name Serratia proteamaculans. RNAcentral also lists the same sequence under 2 other names. Lineage: Bacteria; Pseudomonadati; Pseudomonadota; Gammaproteobacteria; Enterobacterales; Yersiniaceae. The record is from RNAcentral.
UGGUCCCACCUGAUCCCAUGCCGAACUCAGAAGUGAAACGCCGUAGCGCCGAUGGUAGUGUGGGGUCUCCCCAUGCGAGAGUAGGACACUGCCAGGCA